AGGACGAACGCUGGCGGCGUGCUUAACACAUGCAAGUCGAGCGGAAAGGCCCUUCGGGGUACUCGAGCGGCGAACGGGUGAGUAACACGUGGGCAACCUGCCCUUAGCUCUGGGAUAGCUCCGGGAAACCGGAAUUAAUACCGGAUAUGACCUAGGCCGACAUCGGCCGUGGUGGAAAGUUUUUCGGCUAGGGAUGGACUCGCGGCCUACCAGCUAGUUGGUGGGGUAAUGGCCUACCAAGGCGACGACGGGUAGCCGGCCUGAGAGGGCGACCGGCCACACUGGGACUGAGACACGGCCCAGACUCCUACGGGAGGCAGCAGUGGGGAAUAUUGCGCAAUGGGCGGAAGCCUGACGCAGCGACGCCGCGUGCGGGAUGAAGGCCUUCGGGUUGUAAACCGCUUUCACCAGGGCGAAGCGAGAGUGACGGUACCUGGGGAAGAAGCGCCGGCUAACUACGUGCCAGCAGCCGC
RNAcentral lists this ribosomal RNA (473 nucleotides) under uncultured bacterium. RNAcentral's name for it is "SSU rRNA". It matches the Rfam family "Bacterial small subunit ribosomal RNA", at positions 26 to 518 of the family's 1533-position model. The record is from RNAcentral.